AGCAGUGGGGAAUAUUGGACAAUGGGCGCAAGCCUGAUCCAGCCAUGCCGCGUGAGUGAUGAAGGCCUUAGGGUUGUAAAGCUCUUUUGUCCGGGACGAUAAUGACGGUACCGGAAGAAUAAGCCCCGGCUAACUUCGUGCCAGCAGCCGCGGUAAUACGAAGGGGGCUAGCGUUGCUCGGAAUCACUGGGCGUAAAGGGCGCGUAGGCGGUCUUUUAAGUCGGGGGUGAAAGCCUGUGGCUCAACCACAGAAUUGCCUUCGAUACUGGGAGACUUGAGUUCGGUAGAGGUUGGUGGAACUGCGAGUGUAGAGGUGAAAUUCGUAGAUAUUCGCAAGAACACCGGUGGCGAAGGCGGCCAACUGGACCGACACUGACGCUGAGG
This 384-nucleotide ribosomal RNA is filed under the name uncultured bacterium. Its description in RNAcentral is "bacterial SSU rRNA". It matches the Rfam family "Bacterial small subunit ribosomal RNA", at positions 350 to 751 of the family's 1533-position model. The record is from RNAcentral.